This 593-nucleotide long non-coding RNA is filed under the name Zalophus californianus (California sea lion). RNAcentral's name for it is "lncRNA (ENSZCAG00015002596.1)". Lineage: Eukaryota; Metazoa; Chordata; Mammalia; Carnivora; Otariidae. The record is from RNAcentral.
CCCCAGUCUUCCCCUUCCUCCUUCUUCCUCUCCCUCCCUAACCCCGCACCUUCGGACCUCCUCCUCCCCUCCACCCCCGGCUGCCUGCCGGAGCCCCCACGCCGGAGUGAGUGGGAAGCCCCACCGCCAACAAGUCUGGCCUCUGGCUAGAGAAGGGGCGGGCGAGCGCAGCCGCAGACGGCGCGCGUCCUGCAGAGAGAGAGAGAGGAGAGAGCGAACUGAGGUUGUACUUCAUGCAGAGUAGUAGAAGAAAAGAGGACAGUACCCCAUCGCUAAGAGCAUCCUAUGGGCAAACAAAUCCAGAGAGAUUGAGGAACCAACUUCAUAUUCCCCUUCUGAACAAAGACGAAAUUUCAUUUGCACCUGUGAAACUGGGGAGCCUAGUGAUCACCAGUGCUUCCGUAAAGCACCGUCCCAGCUCUGCAGAGGUGGGCUAAGGUAGCAGCAGCUCAUAGGACCAGAAUUCUCUUUCAAAAUAAUUUUAGAUCCACACUUAACUUACAGAUAAAAGGACACUUGAAGCCCUGAGGUCUACAACUCUAGAAAAUCAUGACUAUAAUAAUUCUCGUAUGGCCUAGAAAAUUUAAAACCAG